GAUGAACGCUGGCGGCGUGCUUAACACAUGCAAGUCGAACGAUGAAGCCCAGCUUGCUGGGUGGAUUAGUGGCGAACGGGUGAGUAACACGUGAGUAACCUGCCCUUGACUCUGGGAUAAGCCCGGGAAACUGGGUCUAAUACCGGAUAGGAGCGCCUGUCGCAUGACGGGUGUUGGAAAGAUUUUUCGGUCAUGGAUGGACUCGCGGCCUAUCAGCUUGUUGGUGAGGUAAUGGCUCACCAAGGCGACGACGGGUAGCCGGCCUGAGAGGGUGACCGGCCACACUGGGACUGAGACACGGCCCAGACUCCGACGGGAGGCAGCAGUGGGGAAUAUUGCACAAUGGGCGGAAGACUGAUGCAGCGACGCAGCGUGAGGGAUGACGGCCUUCGGGUUGUAAACCUCUUUCAGUAGGGAAGAAGCGAAAGUGACGGUACCUGCAGAAGAAGCACCGGCUAACUACGUG
RNAcentral lists this ribosomal RNA (466 nucleotides) under uncultured bacterium. Its description in RNAcentral is "partial 16S ribosomal RNA". It matches the Rfam family "Bacterial small subunit ribosomal RNA", at positions 28 to 507 of the family's 1533-position model. The record is from RNAcentral.